Molecule: non-coding RNA, 39 nt
Filed under: Lelliottia amnigena
Lineage: Bacteria; Pseudomonadati; Pseudomonadota; Gammaproteobacteria; Enterobacterales; Enterobacteriaceae
Description: JUMPstart RNA
Rfam family: JUMPstart RNA
Source: RNAcentral
CAGUACAUUGGUAGCUGUUAAGCCACGGGCGGUAGCGUG